CAACGAGCGCCAACCCUUGCUCAUAGUUGCCAGCGGUUCGGCCGGGCACUCUAGUGGGGACUGCCGGUGAUAAACCGGAGGAAGGGUGGGGAUGACGUCAAGUCCUCAUGGCCUUUAUGUCCGAGGGCUACACACGUGCUACAAUGGACGGUAACAAAGAGUUGCGAUCCCGCGAGGGGGAGCUAAUCGGAGAAACCUGUUCUCAGUUCGGAUUGCAGGCUGCAACUCGACUCCAUGAAGUCGGAGUCGCUAGUAAUCGCGGAUCAGCAAAGCCGCGGUGAAUGCGUUCUCGGGGAUU
This 298-nucleotide ribosomal RNA is filed under the name uncultured Acidobacteriaceae bacterium. Its description in RNAcentral is "partial 16S ribosomal RNA". It matches the Rfam family "Bacterial small subunit ribosomal RNA", at positions 1090 to 1378 of the family's 1533-position model. The record is from RNAcentral. Lineage: Bacteria; Pseudomonadati; Acidobacteriota; Terriglobia; Terriglobales; Acidobacteriaceae.